RNAcentral lists this ribosomal RNA (208 nucleotides) under uncultured bacterium. RNAcentral's name for it is "partial 16S ribosomal RNA". It matches the Rfam family "Bacterial small subunit ribosomal RNA", at positions 568 to 775 of the family's 1533-position model. The record is from RNAcentral.
CGCGUAGGCGGGGAGGUAAGUCGGGUGUGAAAUCCCUCGGCCCAACCGAGGAACUGCGCCCGAAACUGCUUCUCUUGAGUCCCGGAGAGGAAGAUGGAAUUCCCGGUGUAGCGGUGAAAUGUGUAGAGAUCGGGAGGAACACCGGUGGCGAAGGCGGUCUUCUGGACAGUGACUGACGCUGAGGCGCGAAAGCGUGGGGAGCAAACGG